GGCAGGUUGAAGGUUGGGUAACACUAACUGGAGGACCGAACCGACUAAUGUUGAAAAAUUAGCGGAUGACCUGUGGCUGGGGGUGAAAGGCCAAUCAAACCGGGAGAUAGCUGGUUCUCCCCGAAAGCUAUUUAGGUAGCGCCUCGUGAAUUCAUCUCCGGGGGUAGAGCACUGUUUCGGCUAGGGGGCCAUCCCGGCUUACCAACCCGAUGCAAACUGCGAAUACCGGAGAAUGUUAUCACGGGAGACACACGGCGGGUGCUAACGUCCGUCGUGAAGAGGGAAACAACCCAGACCGCCAGCUAAGGUCCCAAAGUCAUGGUUAAGUGGGAAACGAUGUGGGAAGGCCCAGACAGCCAGGAUGUUGGCUUAGAAGCAGCCAUCAUUUAAAGAAAGCGUAAUAGCUCACUGGUCGAGUCGGCCUGCGCGGAAGAUGUAACGGGGCUAAACCAUGCACCGAAGCUGCGGCAGCGACGCUGAUGCGUUGUUGGGUAGGGGAGCGUUCUGUAAGCCUGCGAAGGUGACCUGUGAGGGUUGCUGGAGGUAUCAGAAGUGCGAAUGCUGACAUAAGUAACGAUAAAGCGGGUGAAAAGCCCGCUCGCCGGAAGACCAAGGGUUCCUGUCCAACGUUAAUCGGGGCAGGGUGAGUCGACCCCUAAGGCGAGGCCGAAAGGCGUAGUCGAUGGGAAACGGGUUAAUAUUCCCGUACUUGGUGUUACUGCGAAGGGGGGACGGAGAAGGCUAUGUUGGCCGGGCGACGGUUGUCCCGGUUUAAGCGUGUAGGUGUGUGUUCCAGGUAAAUCCGGUUCACUUUAACACUGAGGCGUGACGACGAGGCACUACGGUGCUGAAGCAACAAAUGCCCUGCUUCCAGGAAAAGCCUCUAAGCAUCAGGUAACACGAAAUCGUACCCCAAACCGACACAGGUGGUCAGGUAGAGAAUACCAAGGCGCUUGAGAGAACUCGGGUGAAGGAACUAGGCAAAAUGGUGCCGUAACUUCGGGAGAAGGCACGCUGACACGUAGGUGAAGUGAUUUACUCAUGGAGCUGAAGUCAGUCGAAGAUACCAGCUGGCUGCAACUGUUUAUUAAAAACACAGCACUGUGCAAACACGAAAGUGGACGUAUACGGUGUGACGCCUGCCCGGUGCCGGAAGGUUAAUUGAUGGGGUCAGCGCAAGCGAAGCUCCUGAUCGAAGCCCCGGUAAACGGCGGCCGUAACUAUAACGGUCC
RNAcentral lists this ribosomal RNA (1232 nucleotides) under Salmonella enterica subsp. enterica serovar Typhimurium. RNAcentral describes it as "partial 23S ribosomal RNA". It matches the Rfam family "Bacterial large subunit ribosomal RNA", at positions 739 to 1951 of the family's 2925-position model. The record is from RNAcentral. Lineage: Bacteria; Pseudomonadati; Pseudomonadota; Gammaproteobacteria; Enterobacterales; Enterobacteriaceae.